RNAcentral lists this ribosomal RNA (1377 nucleotides) under Limosilactobacillus reuteri. RNAcentral's name for it is "bacterial SSU rRNA". It matches the Rfam family "Bacterial small subunit ribosomal RNA", at positions 28 to 1362 of the family's 1533-position model. Lineage: Bacteria; Bacillati; Bacillota; Bacilli; Lactobacillales; Lactobacillaceae. The record is from RNAcentral.
GAUGAACGCCGGCGGUGUGCCUAAUACAUGCAAGUCGUACGCACUGGCCCAACUGAUUGAUGGUGCUUGCACCUGAUUGACGAUGGAUCACCAGUGAGUGGCGGACGGGUGAGUAACACGUAGGUAACCUGCCCCGGAGCGGGGGAUAACAUUUGGAAACAGAUGCUAAUACCGCAUAACAACAAAAGCCACAUGGCUUUUGUUUGAAAGAUGGCUUUGGCUAUCACUCUGGGAUGGACCUGCGGUGCAUUAGCUAGUUGGUAAGGUAACGGCUUACCAAGGCGAUGAUGCAUAGCCGAGUUGAGAGACUGAUCGGCCACAAUGGAACUGAGACACGGUCCAUACUCCUACGGGAGGCAGCAGUAGGGAAUCUUCCACAAUGGGCGCAAGCCUGAUGGAGCAACACCGCGUGAGUGAAGAAGGGUUUCGGCUCGUAAAGCUCUGUUGUUGGAGAAGAACGUGCGUGAGAGUAACUGUUCACGCAGUGACGGUAUCCAACCAGAAAGUCACGGCUAACUACGUGCCAGCAGCCGCGGUAAUACGUAGGUGGCAAGCGUUAUCCGGAUUUAUUGGGCGUAAAGCGAGCGCAGGCGGUUGCUUAGGUCUGAUGUGAAAGCCUUCGGCUUAACCGAAGAAGUGCAUCGGAAACCGGGCGACUUGAGUGCAGAAGAGGACAGUGGAACUCCAUGUGUAGCGGUGGAAUGCGUAGAUAUAUGGAAGAACACCAGUGGCGAAGGCGGCUGUCUGGUCUGCAACUGACGCUGAGGCUCGAAAGCAUGGGUAGCGAACAGGAUUAGAUACCCUGGUAGUCCAUGCCGUAAACGAUGAGUGCUAGGUGUUGGAGGGUUUCCGCCCUUCAGUGCCGGAGCUAACGCAUUAAGCACUCCGCCUGGGGAGUACGACCGCAAGGUUGAAACUCAAAGGAAUUGACGGGGGCCCGCACAAGCGGUGGAGCAUGUGGUUUAAUUCGAAGCUACGCGAAGAACCUUACCAGGUCUUGACAUCUUGCGCUAACCUUAGAGAUAAGGCGUUCCCUUCGGGGACGCAAUGACAGGUGGUGCAUGGUCGUCGUCAGCUCGUGUCGUGAGAUGUUGGGUUAAGUCCCGCAACGAGCGCAACCCUUGUUACUAGUUGCCAGCAUUAAGUUGGGCACUCUAGUGAGACUGCCGGUGACAAACCGGAGGAAGGUGGGGACGACGUCAGAUCAUCAUGCCCCUUAUGACCUGGGCUACACACGUGCUACAAUGGACGGUACAACGAGUCGCAAGCUCGCGAGAGUAAGCUAAUCUCUUAAAGCCGUUCUCAGUUCGGACUGUAGGCUGCAACUCGCCUACACGAAGUCGGAAUCGCUAGUAAUCGCGGAUCAGCAUGCCGCGG